CUUGACCGAGCCCAGCCACAGGGGGCGGGCCGGGUCCCGGUCCCUGCCGUAGGUGGCGAGCAGGGCGCGGGCCUC
This 75-nucleotide antisense RNA is filed under the name Streptomyces longwoodensis. RNAcentral describes it as "ASpks TB sRNA". It matches the Rfam family "ASpks TB sRNA". The record is from Rfam by way of RNAcentral. Lineage: Bacteria; Bacillati; Actinomycetota; Actinomycetes; Kitasatosporales; Streptomycetaceae.